UACGUAGGGGGCUAGCGUUGUCCGGAUUUAUUGGGCGUAAAGAGCGUGUAGGCGGCCAGGUAGGUCUGGUGUGAAAACUCGAGGCUUAACCUCGAGAUGUCAUCGGAAACCAUCUGGCUAGAGUCCGGAAGAGGAGAGUGGAAUUCCUGGUGUAGCGGUGAAAUGCGCAGAUAUCAGGAAGAACACCAAUGGCGAAAGCAGCUCUCUGGGACGGUACUGACGCUGAGGCACGAAGGCCAGGGGAGCAAACGGG
Molecule: ribosomal RNA, 253 nt
Filed under: uncultured bacterium
Lineage: Bacteria
Description: partial 16S ribosomal RNA
Rfam family: Bacterial small subunit ribosomal RNA
Source: RNAcentral